This is a long non-coding RNA of Triticum aestivum (bread wheat), 2519 nucleotides long. RefSeq lists it as uncharacterized. The record is from RefSeq and is a predicted model, not a curated record. The transcript has 3 exons. NCBI's taxonomy places the organism in Eukaryota, Viridiplantae, Streptophyta, Magnoliopsida, Poales, Poaceae.
GUACACCUGUCCAUUUACUGUGCUAAGUUAAAAAACACGAUUUUCAUCGAGCCGGUUCUCUCCUCCACGACCCAGCGCCCCCUUUUUGUUUUUCCUCUGAGGCUAGGGUUACCGCCGGCGGCGUCCUCCCCGGCGCUCGUGCCCUCUCCAUCCCGCCCGAGCUCCACCUCCUGCCUCAUCUCUAGCGAUCUUCUCAAUCUAGACCUCGGGAGCACGCACCGGCUACCUCUAGCUCGUCCUCCACCACGCUUGCGCUUGCGUGUUUGAUGGGCACAGGCUGCUCCACCUCCACGCACGGACGACAAGCACGGCGGCCCUGAGAAAGGUGCUCUCGCCCCCUUUUCUCCUUCUGGUUAUGAGCAUAGUGCAUAGGAAGCCUGUAGUAUGUAUCUGGCGAGGUGCAGUGUGGAGGCAGCGGAACAAGCAUCAUAUAUACAAUAAUACAAACGACUUAAAUCCUUCAAGAAGCGUUUCUGCGUUCUGCUACUCUUGGUUUCUCAUAAUCGCUCAAAGUGAAGAGGUUGUUCGUAGUUUCUGAAUCUUGAAAACUGUUGGGUACAGGUAUCACUGAUAUGGGAGCUCCCGUUGCAUAUUUGCGACUUCUCGGAAGAAGCCUGUGAACAUAUCGUCUCUGAAUAAGCCCGCCAAACCCCUGACACAGGUGUUGUAUUCUGAACAUUUCCUCGGCAAAUUGGGGCAGCUUGUCGAACAACCCACGCACAGCAAAAUCUGAAAAUCCUCUGAAUCAAAUGGGCCCUGGAUUACCAAAGUUGUUUGGUUGCACCAUGCAAAAUAAUCCCUAUAAAAAAUCCUACAAGAUUUGAUGCUACAAAUCAAGAGAAAUAUGACAUUGCUUAGUGUGAGGUGCUUACAAAGUACUUUUCGCCGUGGUGUUUAUUGAAAUAUUUGGGUAAUGCAGUUUUAUGAUAUUGUGUGGCUUAGCCUUUGUUCAGGAAUAGAGCGUGGGAACAAUAUCUUUGGUUGUAGCCUCUCCCAUGGAGUUUGGCCUGCUCGGCGCAUUGUUUGGUCUCCAGCCUCUCCCUGACUCUUUCUUCUCCCAGUGACUUCUCCUUUUACCAAUACCCGAUACUUGCAUCACUUAAUUCAUUGUUGUACAACUUCAUUUGCUUUGUGGCAGCAGAGGAAAGGGGGAGAAAAUGCGUCCAUUGUACCACGCUUGACCUUUGAGUAACAUUUGUUUGAUGGGAGAAUUUGAUGUAUGUUCUGAAGUAAGAAGAUGACCACUAUCCUAUUUCUCAUGUACAUUCUAGACGAUACACUUGUACGGUUGUGCUAAUAGAUGACUCUUAGACCAUGUAUAUUCUCUAAUUUCCCCCUUAGCUUGAACCAUCUAUUUAACCAGACAAUGUUGCGGCUAACUCUAAGAAGAAACGUUUAUCAAAAUUCCUCACAGGCUCGUGGUAGUUCAUCAAUCUUGCAAGAGGAACUGAGGAAAAUCUUAUUCAACACAACAGGAGGGGAACCGGCUGUGGUAGUUUUAGGUACUGCCCGCAAAUUUGGUACAUAGAACAUGAGCCAUCGUCACUUACGGUGGUAGUACUAACUGUGUCUGAUCUUCUUCCUUAGGUCUAUGUACUGCAGAUUUUGUACAUAUACCAUUUUUCUUCUCUAAGAUACAGUGUCCUGCUAAUUUUGAUGGUUUGUUGAAUUAUCUUCUUGUAAUAUACAUGCAUCAGCUUACUCAAGAUAACGGUUAAAUCCCUCACCGCUUUUGUUUGUUCCAAAAUAUUUCUCCAUGUAUCAUAUAAUGAGAAGAGGAAUUUUGGGCGAAAACAUACCGGCUUAUCGUCUGUUUUGUUUUAGGAAUCGGGAUGAUCGCCGUAUGUUAGAUCUCUAUCUCUUCCAGGCAAUGAUCAGAUGCACAACAUGGAAUCAGGAUGAUCGUCGUAUGAUAGAUCAUUUCCGGGCAAGGAUCGGACGCAUAACAUGGUAUGUACAUGCAAUGGAAUUGUUACAUAGAGGUACGCAUUUUGAUCUUCUAAUAUGCACUGCUGUCAUAAAGGUUAUGAUUGUUGUUUCAGAUACACACACACAAAAAUGUUCCAUGGUUAAUUUUGUAGAGGGAAAAAAAUUGAGGACUUAAAGUUUUGUUCUGUCUGAUUGUUGACAUGCCAAUGGAAGUGCUUGAUUGUCUUAAGCUAGAAUUCUUAUGGUUUGUUUCUUAGUGGGCUUGUUUUGUUUUAUUUUCCAAACACCCUAUGAUUUUAUCCUAAUCCCAAAUUGCUGAGGCAAGAUAAGAAUAAGGGGAAUCCAAGCCUAAUUCUUGUAUAUAGUAGUAACACACCAUAUGUACACUGAAGUACUAUUUAUGUUCUUCCUGAUGAAUCCAUGGAUUAUCACAUUCUGAAACCAUUUGAUGCAGCAAAUAUGUAGUUCCCCCAGAUGUUCUGGUAUCUGGAAUGAGCUUGAUGUGUUCCGACAUAGCUCAGUUUAUGACGAAGCCAUCGAACAGAAAUAUCAAGUUCGGAAAGAGUUUCGAGCGGCGAAACCAGUCUCUC